UGAGAUAGAAUGAUCACCUUGAAUGUUUGUUUUGGUGGGAUGUGUUAUUCUUUACUUUAAUAUGAAUGUUGAGCUUCCUUGGGUUGUUCUUGCUUCACUAAUUUUAUUUUUAAUUUUUAGUUUUUACUAUUUUUUAUCGUUAAAUGUUGUUGUUUCUGUCAUUGUUUUUUUAUUAAAUUUUUUGUCAUUGUUUAAGUUGUAGAAUCAGAUUGGCGGUGGAAAGCCCAAAAUGAGAUGGUUAGGAACUCAAUUUUGUUGCUCUCUCAAUUCUUCCAAUUCUCAGCCCUAAUUUUAUGAACUAUUGAAGUGAAGCACCUGCUGACAUUAAUAAACCUGCAUCUGCACCUGCUGGAAUCAUUGAUUCUUUGGGAGUUUUGAUAGAGAAAUUUGGAACAAGAGCUUGAAAUAUGAAGACAGCAUAUUGACUCUAUGGAGUUGCCUGCGGGAUUGUGAUCUUGGGUUUGGCUCUUUUAAGCAUACUGGAGAAGAUACAAUAUGUUUGCCAUUAUGAGAAUUGUGGGAAGGUGAUUGUAGAUAUACAACAAGUCCAACAGAUUUGCUGAAGCUGAGAAUAUAUUGAGAAAGAUUAUGAAAGGGUUGGAAAUCUUUGGAUAUCAUUGUUGUAGCUGAACGACUUGCACUAACUCUUGAAGCAACAAGGAGAUUAAAGGAGGUAGAAGAAUUGUUAGAGAGAUGUCUUGAUGCCAAGAAAAACUUACUUCCUCAUGAAAACUUUGCUUCUACAUGUGCAUUGACAUUUUCCUUAUUCUGCUGGUUCAAAACUCAUGGUGGUAAAGGUUAGAAAAUGGCAG
This is a long non-coding RNA of Salvia miltiorrhiza (redroot sage), 812 nucleotides long. RefSeq lists it as uncharacterized. NCBI's taxonomy places the organism in Eukaryota, Viridiplantae, Streptophyta, Magnoliopsida, Lamiales, Lamiaceae. The transcript is spliced from 5 exons. The record is from RefSeq and is a predicted model, not a curated record.